AACCCAAAUUAAUAAAUUUCGGCGUAAAGUGUGUUUAAGUUAAUUUAUAUAAUAAAGUCAAUAUUUAACUAAACUGUAGUACGUUCUAGUUAAUAUUAAGAUAAACUAUUAAAAUGACUUUAAUAAUUCUGAUACACGACAACUAAGACACAAACUGGGAUUAGAUACCCCACUAUGCUUAGUAAUAAACUAAAAUAGUUUUAUAACAAAACUAUUCGCCAGAGAACUACUAGCAAUUGCUUAAAACUCAAAGGACUUGGCGGUGCCCUAAACCCACCUAGAGGAGCCUGUUCCAUAAUCGAUAAACCCCGAUAAACCCGACCCUGUCUUGCCAAUA
This 337-nucleotide ribosomal RNA is filed under the name Metachirus nudicaudatus (brown four-eyed opossum). RNAcentral describes it as "partial 12S ribosomal RNA". It matches the Rfam family "Bacterial small subunit ribosomal RNA", at positions 537 to 989 of the family's 1533-position model. Lineage: Eukaryota; Metazoa; Chordata; Mammalia; Didelphimorphia; Didelphidae. The record is from RNAcentral.